ACCGGAUCUAUCAAGUGUCUCCUGCUCAGCGUUGGGUCCCAGGAACUCGACAGAGGGGGAGGGGCUUGGGGAGGAGGUGGAGAAUUCAGCACAGAUCUUCCUUCUGGCUUUGAUGACUGGAUCAGAUGAGUCAACUGUUCUCAGAUGAUGUCAUUGAUGGUAAAGAAAAUGAAAUGGAGCUCGUGAGUGACUCAGUGGUGAGCGUGACCAUUCCUCAUGUUUCUGUGUGAGCAGCUUUCUGUCUCAUGACUUAUUCAUCUGCAUCAUUGAUUUUAUGGACACAGAACCAUUCAUCACCCAGGCUGCGAUGAAUCUCAUCCUUACGUGUCUCACUGGCCUGAAACUCACCAAGAAGGCUGGACCGG
Mastomys coucha (southern multimammate mouse) is the source of this 365-nucleotide long non-coding RNA. RefSeq lists it as uncharacterized. The record is from RefSeq and is a predicted model, not a curated record. The transcript has 3 exons. Lineage: Eukaryota; Metazoa; Chordata; Mammalia; Rodentia; Muridae.